AGAAGAUGAAGCUAGUUGUUAGGAGCACGCUGACCCACAGAGAGCAUAAAAUGUCGACUAUGUUUACUUUAAAGCCGUAUCUGGGUCAUAACAGGAGCCAGCAGGAUAAAAUCGCUGGAUGACAUUAGAGGAGAUGGCCUGACCUCCAACCCUCUCCAUAAUGGAGAAUAAUGGCCUACCCAGAAACAGGCAGAUCUUCUUGUUGAAGAGGUACCAAGCAAGAUGCCCUCUCUGAAUGGUCGACCUUUACAGGGUCAGGAGAAGAAAAAUUGAGAGCACAAAAAGACAUACAUUUAUGGUGAGGACAAUGAACCAAAGAAAACAAGCUGCUAGGACUUUCUUCCAGGCCGUGAAGAAUGGCCUGAGGAUGGGGAUCCAAAAGCCAUUCUGAAGCAGAACUGCAAACAACUAUUAAGGGAGCAGAGAAAAAAAACUUUCAUUCUUGCACCGUGAUGGAAUAGAAAGCUGAAUACUGCAGGCUGCCUUCAAAUGUUUUAUACUUCAGAGAUGUGAACGUAUCUCACUUCUUUUUAUUUGUAAUAAACUUG
Molecule: long non-coding RNA, 548 nt
Organism: Scomber scombrus (Atlantic mackerel)
Lineage: Eukaryota; Metazoa; Chordata; Actinopteri; Scombriformes; Scombridae
Exons: 6
Source: RefSeq, a predicted model, not a curated record